AGUGAACGCUGGCGGUAGGCCUAACACAUGCAAGUCGAACGGCAGCACAGUAAGAGCUUGCUCUUACGGGUGGCGAGUGGCGGACGGGUGAGGAAUACAUCGGAAUCUACUUUUUCGUGGGGGAUAACGUAGGGAAACUUACGCUAAUACCGCAUACGACCUACGGUUGAAAGCAGGGGAUCUUCGGACCUUGCGCGAUUGAAUGAGCCGAUGUCGGAUUAGCUAGUUGGCGGGGUAAAGGCCCACCAAGGCAAGGAUCCGUAGAUGGUCUGAGAGGAUGACAAGCCACACUGGAAUGGAGACACGGCCCAGCCUCCAACGGGAGGCGGCGGAGGGGAAUAUUGGACAAGGGGCGGAGGCCUGACCCGGCCAUACCGCGUAGGUGAAGAAGGCCUUCGGGUUGUAAAGCCCUUUUGUUGGGAAAGAAAAGCAGCAGGUUAAUACCCCGCUGUUCUGACGGUACCCAAAGAAUAAGCACCGGCUAACUUCGUG
Molecule: ribosomal RNA, 492 nt
Filed under: uncultured bacterium
Lineage: Bacteria
Description: partial 16S ribosomal RNA
Rfam family: Bacterial small subunit ribosomal RNA
Source: RNAcentral